GGGAUAUUAGCUCAGUUGGUUCAGAGCGCUUGCUUCACAGGUAAGAAGUCACCGGUUCGAAUCCAGUAUAUCCCAC
This 76-nucleotide transfer RNA is filed under the name Bacteroidetes bacterium ADurb.Bin234. Its description in RNAcentral is "tRNA-Val". It matches the Rfam family "tRNA". Rfam says of the family: Transfer RNA (tRNA) molecules are approximately 80 nucleotides in length. Their secondary structure includes four short double-helical elements and three loops (D, anti-codon, and T loops). The record is from RNAcentral. Lineage: Bacteria; Pseudomonadati; Bacteroidota.